Long non-coding RNA from Pimephales promelas (fathead minnow), 907 nucleotides. RefSeq lists it as uncharacterized. Lineage: Eukaryota; Metazoa; Chordata; Actinopteri; Cypriniformes; Leuciscidae. The record is from RefSeq and is a predicted model, not a curated record.
CGCAGCCAUGCUUUGCAGGGGCUCCAGCCCCUGACUCACUACAAGAUAGGGCAAGUCGCUUCGCGGAGGCAUCCAACUACACAUCGACAGAAACCCGGGAAUACAAUUAAGUGUCUUUAAAUCGCGAAAUGCGCAUUAUAUUGCGAAAACAGCCUCGUGAAACAUGAUGGAUAUGAAUGCAAGGAAAACCAACGACCUCCUGCUGAGGCUGUGGAGCGAGCGAGCGCGUGUUUGAGUACGUACGGACGUGGUCGAAGCCCCUGAAGCUUUUUUCCCCCUUUUUCACAGAGGUCCUUUCAAGCAGAUCAAAUGGUCAACCCCCCCCAUGUUCCCCCUUUGUCCCAGACUGGCUGUCAUUUUGCAGCUACAAAAAAAAAAAAAAAAAUAACGAAGGCCUUAUCCCUUUGCUGUCAACAUUUCAUGGCCAUAUUUCAUCAUGUGUUGGUUAAGUAAUCCUUUUGAACAUUCGCUUCGCUUUUAUCAAAUCUGUGCUGUGUUUAAACACUUAACGGAAUGGUUUCAGUUGCAAAGAAGAUCGCUGAGAUGGGGGUUUGAUUUAAUAGUGUUAAUUUAAUUUAAUAGUGAAUCCGUCAUACGCGCCGGGACACUAAAACCAGAGGCCGAUGAAUGACUGGAUAAACGAAGGAUUUCAUGGUAAUACAACUGCUUUGCAAUGGUUAAAAUGAUGGAGAGGUUUGUAGCAUAUUUUAGACAAGCUUUGCGUGAUUUGAGACUCUGGCUCUCCGUGUUCACAGCGGACCUUGAUUUAAUGUCUUACAAUUAAGGCACGCGGUGAAUGCCAAGAGCGGAGCCUUCCGCCAGCCGCAGGCCAAAAUCCUGCAAAUUCUAACUGAACUUUUCAUUUGAUUAAAUUGCAUUUUACCAAUAAAAGCUGGUUUUGAUAGUC